This 1758-nucleotide long non-coding RNA is filed under the name Bemisia tabaci. RNAcentral's name for it is "lncRNA ENSSSA3NGG012044". Lineage: Eukaryota; Metazoa; Arthropoda; Insecta; Hemiptera; Aleyrodidae. The record is from RNAcentral.
GUAGUCACUAUGACAACUAAUCCAUUCGGUCUCAAAUCGAAGUUGUUUCAAAUCUGUCGUCUUGUUUAUCAGAAGAGGAUGUAAAAUGGUCUUUAUUCGACGAUGAUGGACUAAAACGCAAUUUUCCCUGCAAGAUUCUGUCGUGUCUCUGCAUUCCAGUUUCCCAGUUUGAUCCUCUGCCCACAUAUAUUUGUGAAAAAUGCGCACGCAAAUUGGACGAAUUCUAUGACUUCAAGCAAGCCUCUAGAAAGUCUGAUGAAUACCUGAAAAGCAAUUUGCAUUCAUUUUCUCAGGAAAUUUGUAUGAGCAAUAGACUGAAAGGCAAAGUGAAGCAAGAUAAUGAUCAGCUAAUUGCCCAAGAUAUGUCGUUACAUAAAUCGGACAAUAAAUCAAGAUCACAGUUGAUCAGUGGUUCUUUCCAAUCAGAAAAUUUAAGGUGUAAUAUUUUAAAUCAGAACCAAAGUGUAAUCAAAACGAUAGAUAUUACAAUUUACUUACCAGUAUUAAUGGUAUAAGUGCCCCCUCAAAAUCCACAUCCUCUUUUACUGACACUGACGAGAAAAUUCAAUCAAGGAAUGUCAUGAACUCCCCAUCCCAACCCAGUUCAAACGGCCGCAAUCCCAACACAUUGCACAACCGUUCAGAGAAAGAACUUAUUGCCAGUGAUUCAAUUUAAAUCUAAACACGGAAGGUCGAGAAAACUCGCCCGAGGCGGAAGUGAAAAGGCAGCCAUGGGGUGUCUCUGGAAAUGCUGUGAUGUAUGCCAAUGGCUAUUUCAGUGAGGUCCCUGAUGAUGACUCAAACAACAAUAGUGGAGUUUUGAACCUGGAGAUGAAGUCUAAGAAGCAGCGCGUUGAAAGUGAAACGCGACCCACUCAGUUGAAACCAGAUAGUGUUGAAGACUCGGAAGAUGAUUCCAAGAGAGGGAGCUCUCGGCUUUCCAGGGAGGAUCCAUCGGACAACGAGAAUAAAAGUCAUGCUGACUUUGAGGAUGAUAACAAUGAAGACGCUGAUGUCAGUAGUGAUAUAACUGAAAGAAGUCCCACAAGUAUGCUGAGGAGAACAUUAUUACUAAAUCAUCAGGAUGAAUCUCGGUCACCUCUAACAAUAAUGAAUGGAGAAGUUGUGCUGGGUGCUAAAAGGACGAGUAGUGGCCGACGCAAGCAAAGCUGUCCUCUGAGGGCAAGCGAGAUUAGGUUCCGUUAUAAAUUCAACGCCGACAAUGAAAUUGAAGGCGAAAACGCAGAUGGGCGCAACAGUGAUAUUGGCAGUAUGUCCGACGCCGGCGCAAGUUCAGAUGCGGAUAACCACCGAUUUGACGAUAUGGGUGCUGCAAGAUCUCUUUAUAUUGAAAAUUCUCUGAUGGGCAAUGGUUCGGUUGAUUCAGCAGACUGCAUGGAUAUUCCUAUCGAAACGGUAUGGUUUUUUUUCUUAGUACUUAAAUUAAUUUUUAUCUACAGUGGAAGGAAAUUCUAUCUAAAGAAACAAAAGGUUUCUAGAAACUGUAAUAUCUUGAUGCAUUUUGCUGCUGUAAACAUUUGUUGAGAACAGUUAGGGGACAAUUUGUUGACAGGAGGUAGGACCUUGAUCAUUCUCUUAAGAGAGAGCAAAUAUGCAUAAAUUCAGAGCAACCCUUAAAGUUUCUAAGGAAGACCCAGACAUGAACUAGAUACUUAAGUUUUUACCUUCAUUUUCAUGGUGAUAUAGAUUCUAGAACCAACUCUUCUUUCAACAAGCGUCCAUCAACAUCAAUCUUCA